This 325-nucleotide ribosomal RNA is filed under the name uncultured bacterium. RNAcentral's name for it is "bacterial SSU rRNA". It matches the Rfam family "Bacterial small subunit ribosomal RNA", at positions 28 to 334 of the family's 1533-position model. The record is from RNAcentral.
GACGAACGCUGGCGGCGUGCCUAACACAUGCAAGUCGAACGAAGCUUGACGAAUGAUUACUUCGGUAUGAAUUCUGAUAUGACUGAGUGGCGGACGGGUGAGUAACGCGUGAGCAACCUGCCCUUCAGAGGGGGAUAGCGUCUGGAAACGGACGGUAAUGCCGCAUAACGUACAAUGAUGGCAUCAUUGAUGUACCAAAGCUAUUGCGCUGAAGGAUGGGCUCGCGUCUGAUUAGAUAGUUGGUGGGGUAACGGCCUACCAAGUCGACGAUCAGUAGCCGGACUGAGAGGUUGAACGGCCACAUUGGGACUGAGACACGGCCCAG